AUUGAACGCUGGCGGCAUGCCUUACACAUGCAAGUCGAACGGUAACAGGUCUUCGGACGCUGACGAGUGGCGAACGGGUGAGUAAUACAUCGGAACGUGCCCAGACGUGGGGGAUAACGAGGCGAAAGCUUUGCUAAUACCGCAUACGAUCUAAGGAUGAAAGCAGGGGACCGCAAGGCCUUGUGCGUUUGGAGCGGCCGAUGGCAGAUUAGGUAGUUGGUGGGAUAAAAGCUUACCAAGCCGACGAUCUGUAGCUGGUCUGAGAGGACGACCAGCCACACUGGGACUGAGACACGGCCCAGACUCCUACGGGAGGCAGCAGUGGGGAAUUUUGGACAAUGGGCGAAAGCCUGAUCCAGCAAUGCCGCGUGCAGGAUGAAGGCCUUCGGGUUGUAAACUGCUUUUGUACGGAACGAAAAGGCUCUGGCUAAUACCUGGGGCACAUGACGGUACCGUAAGAAUAAGCACCGGCUAACUACGUG
Molecule: ribosomal RNA, 482 nt
Filed under: uncultured bacterium
Lineage: Bacteria
Description: partial 16S ribosomal RNA
Rfam family: Bacterial small subunit ribosomal RNA
Source: RNAcentral